Molecule: ribosomal RNA, 253 nt
Filed under: uncultured bacterium
Lineage: Bacteria
Description: partial 16S ribosomal RNA
Rfam family: Archaeal small subunit ribosomal RNA
Source: RNAcentral
UACCAGCACCCCGAGUGGUCGGGACGUUUAUUGGGCCUAAAGCAUCCGUAGCCGGUUCUACAAGUCUUCCGUUAAAUCCACCUGCUCAACAGAUGGGCUGCGGAAGAUACUAUGGAGCUAGGAGGCGGGAGAGGCAAGCGGUACUCGAUGGGUAGGGGUAAAAUCCGUUGAUCCAUUGAAGACCACCAGUGGCGAAGGCGACUUACUGGACACAUAUUGACGCUGAGGUGCGAAAGCGUGGGGAGCAAACAGG